GUGAGGAAUAUUGGUCAAUGGACGAGAGUCUGAACCAGCCAAGUCGCGUGAAGGAAGACGGUUCUAUGAAUUGUAAACUUCUUUUGUGCAGGAAUAAAGUGGGUUACGUGUAACCUUUUGUAUGUACUGUACGAAUAAGGAUCGGCUAACUCCGUGCCAGCAGCCGCGGUAAUACGGAGGAUCCGAGCGUUAUCCGGAUGUAUUGGGUUUAAAGGGUGCGUAGGUGGAUUGAUAAGUCAGCGGUGAAAGUUUGCAGCUUAACUGUAAAAUUGCCGUUGAAACUGUCGGUCUUGAGUGCAAAUGAGGUAGGCGGAAUGUGUUGUGUAGCGGUGAAAUGCUUAGAUAUAACACAGAACUCCGAUUGCGAAGGCAGCUUACUGGGAUGCAACUGACACUGAUGCACGAAAGCGUGGGUAUCAAACAGGAUUAGAAACCCUGGUAGUCC
RNAcentral lists this ribosomal RNA (445 nucleotides) under uncultured bacterium. RNAcentral describes it as "partial 16S ribosomal RNA". It matches the Rfam family "Bacterial small subunit ribosomal RNA", at positions 354 to 796 of the family's 1533-position model. The record is from RNAcentral.